Molecule: long non-coding RNA, 339 nt
Filed under: Homo sapiens (human)
Lineage: Eukaryota; Metazoa; Chordata; Mammalia; Primates; Hominidae
Description: HSALNT0300669
Source: RNAcentral
AGCAAAGAAUGUCCAGAUGUUCUUUUUGGAGAAGAAGAACUACAAAGUUAGAGCAAAUACUCUUAUUUAUAAGAAGAAUGAACUCAGUGGGUGAGAAGGAGAAUACAAAUGCAACAGCCUCAAAUUAGCAGUGGAUGCCUACUGGGCUCCUGCAACCCCUUUCCACGGCUUACAGAUCUUAGGACUUCUCAGCCUCCAUAACUGGAUGAGCCAAUCCUGUAGGGUAAUGUUUGUUCUGUUUCUCUGGAAACCUUGACUAAUACAUCGAUAGAAGGAAGGACAAAGACUGCAUACUGGGGUUCCAAACAGGGAUCUGAAAUCAAGACAAGAAUAAGGUGU